This is a long non-coding RNA of Gallus gallus (chicken), 1931 nucleotides long. The record is from Ensembl. Lineage: Eukaryota; Metazoa; Chordata; Aves; Galliformes; Phasianidae.
AGAUCCUUUCUCUUGGAGUCCUUCUGUGAGCCCAGGACAUGGGGCAUGGAUCCAUGUGUCUCUGUGUCCCUCCAUUCCGCUAUUCACAGAACUGGGCCAAACCAGCCAGCAUGCUGUUGACACAAUGCCAAUGUAGCUGCCAGUAAUAUGCAUUGCAGCUGAUUUUGAAAACCUGAGUCAAGACAGAAGAUACUGGCCUUCUACAGCAGUCAGCUUUUGUGCGAUUAUCUUGCAAAGAGAUAUUUUAUCACUUCUACUUGUCUUCAAAGCUCUGGACAACAAAAAUAUAUAAAUGAUUGGGGUUGCAAUCCAUAACAAAUUUAGUAUGCAUAUAAACAACAUUUUAUGUUAGAUGCACUAGCCAGAGGAAUAUAAACAACCCCUCAAGUAAGGUUUUCAUCACUGACAGAUGGGACGGAAAUGCACAGAAUCCCAUAGGUCAUUGUAACUAGAUUCUAACACCUCACAUGCUACAUGUUGUGCACUAUGAGAAGAGAAAAGCCUGAGAAGCAGGGAAAUCACUCAAAGCAAAUCCAGCAAGUCAAAACAGCAAGAGAGGGGGAAAGAAAAAAAAAAAAUGAGACUGUGUUUUUACAAAUUCAGAAUUAAAGGAUAUUCAGGGUUGGAAGGGAUCUCUGUAGGUCAUCUUAUGCAACCCCCCUGCUUCAAAAAGGACACCUAAGGUUGUCUGGAGCCAUGCCAGGAUGGCAGUUCAGACUGAACUGAACAUAUACUGUGUUGCCUGUAGAUCAAGAACAGCAGCUGGCAGAAGAUUGUUGAAGAAACAACAUUGCAGGUAGUCAGUAAGUAAUGGAUGGAUGGAAGAUGUCUACAAAUAACAAGUCUGUAUUCUUUCUAAAGGUGUAGAGUCAAACCAACUAAAACAGAAUAAUGAGCAAUACUUGGUUGGUUUAUUCAAGUCUGUUACUACUAACCUUUCCACCUUCAAUACUUAAGCUACAAAUCCUGAGGUAGACAUAUGCAGUUUCAAGUCUGACAAGCUAGCAUGUUUUUUUGAAACAACAUUCUUGAUCUUCUCCUCUGAAAUAUUCUAUGUGUCUCAUUACCAUUCCACUACAAGCAUGGUGCAUGUUUCUUCAUCAUCACCUGCUUAUGCUCUUACACCCUUCCAACUCUUUCAUCAAGAAAUGAUGAAAUAAUUUAUUCUUAUUUCCAUACAGUAUCUGCUCUGGUCAUGUCAAUCCACACAGAGACUAUACCAGCAUUAUACACGUGUCUAUAUGUUAUUUUAUAGCUCAAUUAUAACUUCUACACAGUUACACCGUAUGUAUUCCUCAUAAUGCCACUUGGCUGUAAACUUAAUUUCUCUCAAGUUUAUAUGGAAGGAUGGUUUCCUCCUUCUGGAAGGAAGUAAAUAACUUGAGCUACAGCAGUAGUUCAUGUGCCAAAAGUAUAGAUACUUCUAGUCAUAAACCAAUGGUUAGAUUGGGUACACAAACUCCACAUGAAAUAUUAGGCUGAUCAAUUCAUUUGUAGGCAAGGUGUACAGCUUCUCAAACUGUACUGUGAUGACUGUGGCCUUGAUUUCCUAAGAGUAUGAUGAUCCUAAUAUGAAUAAGAGCAUCUUGUAUGCAAAACGGCAAAGAGAUUAUAUGCAUAGAGAAAGGAAUGAUUAAAAAAAUUGCAUAACAUGAACUCAAAACUAUUAUGUGAAAGCAAAAAGUUUCUGGAACCUGUCAGAAAAAAAAGAAAAAAAGAAACAACAGAUAUGACCCAGAAUUCUUUUCAAGGUGAAACAGCAGAGAAUUUGUCUGAAACCUUUCCAAAGCCUUUUGUGAAUUAAUUUCAGUUCUACAGCAUUUUCUUCCAGUAUUAGAUGUUUUAGGGUUCUGACCUACACAAAUGUAUGAUAACAAAUUUCACUCCCUGAAGUAUUGAAUGUUGACCUUCCAUAUUUCUGUCACUUCCAG